This 504-nucleotide ribosomal RNA is filed under the name uncultured bacterium. RNAcentral describes it as "partial 16S ribosomal RNA". It matches the Rfam family "Bacterial small subunit ribosomal RNA", at positions 30 to 523 of the family's 1533-position model. The record is from RNAcentral.
AUUGAACGCUGGCGGCAUGCCUUACACAUGCAAGUCGAACGGCAGCAUGGAGAGCUUGCUCUCUGAUGGCGAGUGGCGAACGGGUGAGUAAUGCAUCGGAACGUACCGUGUAAUGGGGGAUAACGUAGCGAAAGUUACGCUAAUACCGCAUACGACCUGAGGGUGAAAGCAGGGGAUCGCAAGACCUUGCGUUAUACGAGCGGCCGAUGUCAGAUUAGCUAGUUGGUGAGGUAAAGGCUCACCAAGGCGACGAUCUGUAGCGGGUCUGAGAGGAUGAUCCGCCACACUGGGACUGAGACACGGCCCAGACUCCUACGGGAGGCAGCAGUGGAGAAUUUUGGACAAUGGGGGCAACCCUGAUCCAGCCAUGCCGCGUGAGUGAAGAAGGCCUUCGGGUUGUAAAACUCUUUCGGCCGGGAAGAAAUCGCACAGGCUAAUACUCUGUGUGGAUGACGGUACCGGCAUAAGAAGCACCGGCUAACUACGUGCCAGCCGCCGCAGUAA